UGUUCUGUGGCUUAGUUGGUCGAAGCGCCGGUCUAGCGAAUACGGAGUCGUGAAUUCGAAUCACACCAGAACGC
This is a non-coding RNA of Aedes albopictus (Asian tiger mosquito), 74 nucleotides long. NCBI's taxonomy places the organism in Eukaryota, Metazoa, Arthropoda, Insecta, Diptera, Culicidae. The record is from Rfam.